AAAAACCUGAAAUGUUCGACACCCCUGCUAUUUUGAACCUACAAUACUUUAAACGGGAUUCCUAUAUUUCUGUAAUAUGUCAGGCCUCCGUUGCAGUGGAAGACAAAAAAGCAGAUGCGGUUGCCCACCUAGCUUUGGCUAGGAGUCAAAAUACAGGACCGGCAUUUUGGGGAAACU
This 177-nucleotide non-coding RNA is filed under the name Faecalicatena contorta. RNAcentral's name for it is "6S / SsrS RNA". It matches the Rfam family "6S / SsrS RNA". From Rfam's summary of the family: E. coli 6S RNA was the first non coding RNA to be sequenced, but its function was unknown until recently. The record is from RNAcentral. Lineage: Bacteria; Bacillati; Bacillota; Clostridia; Lachnospirales; Lachnospiraceae.